GGUCGUGUAGCUCAACUGAAUAGAGUACCUGACUACGGAUCAGGCGGUUGUGGGUUUGAAUCCCGCCACGAUCA
Molecule: transfer RNA, 74 nt
Filed under: Mediterranea sp. (in: CFB group bacteria)
Lineage: Bacteria; Pseudomonadati; Bacteroidota; Bacteroidia; Bacteroidales; Bacteroidaceae
Description: Mediterranea sp. tRNA-Arg
Rfam family: tRNA
About the family: Transfer RNA (tRNA) molecules are approximately 80 nucleotides in length. Their secondary structure includes four short double-helical elements and three loops (D, anti-codon, and T loops). Further hydrogen bonds mediate the characteristic L-shaped molecular structure. tRNAs have two regions of fundamental functional importance: the anti-codon, which is responsible for specific mRNA codon recognition, and the 3' end, to which the tRNAs corresponding amino acid is attached (by aminoacyl-tRNA synthetases). tRNAs cope with the degeneracy of the genetic code in two manners: having more than one tRNA (with a specific anti-codon) for a particular amino acid; and 'wobble' base-pairing, i.e. permitting non-standard base-pairing at the 3rd anti-codon position.
Source: RNAcentral